This 429-nucleotide ribosomal RNA is filed under the name Gemmatimonadota bacterium. Its description in RNAcentral is "Gemmatimonadetes bacterium partial 16S ribosomal RNA". It matches the Rfam family "Bacterial small subunit ribosomal RNA", at positions 355 to 776 of the family's 1533-position model. Lineage: Bacteria; Pseudomonadati; Gemmatimonadota. The record is from RNAcentral.
UAGGGAAUCUUCGGCAAUGGACGAAAGUCUGACCGAGCAACGCCGCGUGAGUGAAGAAGGUUUUCGGAUCGUAAAACUCUGUUGUUAGAGAAGAACAAGGACGUUAGUAACUGAACGUCCCCUGACGGUAUCUAACCAGAAAGCCACGGCUAACUACGUUCCAGCAGCCGCGGUAAUACGUCGGUGGCAAGCGUUGUCCGGAUUUAUUGGGCGUAAAGCGAGCGCAGGCGGUUUCUUAAGUCUGAUGUGAAAGCCCCCGGCUCAACCGGGGAGGGUCAUUGGAAACUGGGAGAGUGGAGUGCAGAAGAGGGGAGUGGAAUUCGAUGGGUAGCGGUGAAAUGCGUGGAUAUAUGGAGGAACACCAGUGGCGAAGGCGGCUCUCGGGUCUGUAGCUGACGCUGAGGCUCGAAAGCGGGGGGAGCAAACAGG